This 23-nucleotide microRNA is filed under the name Branchiostoma floridae (Florida lancelet). RNAcentral describes it as "Bfl-Mir-242_3p* (star (passenger))". Lineage: Eukaryota; Metazoa; Chordata; Leptocardii; Amphioxiformes; Branchiostomatidae. The record is from RNAcentral.
CGUGUGUACCUCUCCUGCGUCAC